RNAcentral lists this unclassified non-coding RNA (194 nucleotides) under uncultured Clitopilus. RNAcentral describes it as "sequence contains ITS2". Lineage: Eukaryota; Fungi; Basidiomycota; Agaricomycetes; Agaricales; Entolomataceae. The record is from RNAcentral.
AAUUCUCAACUAUACAAGUUUUUGAAACAUGUAUAGCUUGGAUCUUGGGAUUUGCGGGCUUUCACAAGUCGGCUAUCCUUAAAUGCAUUAGCAGAGCUUUUGCCGCUAACCUCUGGUGUGAUAAUUAUCUACGCCAUCGAGUUGCGACAUAUUGAGGCUUAGCUUCUAAUCGUCCGCAAGGACAAUAUUUGACA